GCAGGCAGAGGGUUUCCUGCGUAUGAUUUGAAAUCAUUCUUUUUCGUUUUUACUAACGAUGCCUGCU
RNAcentral lists this transfer RNA (67 nucleotides) under Glypthelmins quieta. RNAcentral describes it as "tRNA-Ser". Lineage: Eukaryota; Metazoa; Platyhelminthes; Trematoda; Plagiorchiida; Plagiorchiidae. The record is from RNAcentral.